Molecule: long non-coding RNA, 1215 nt
Filed under: Felis catus (domestic cat)
Lineage: Eukaryota; Metazoa; Chordata; Mammalia; Carnivora; Felidae
Description: lncRNA (ENSFCAG00000042144.2)
Source: RNAcentral
UUUAUAAAUAUUGUUUGGAUAUGACGCCAGACUCCAUGUUCAUUUCCUAGGUGAAGAACCCCAAACACUAGGAGACUAAAGAAGAAGAAGUUAUGAUCCAAAUCAAGUCUGAAAUUUCUUUCAACUGAUUGCUUUCCCUGCUAGUAACUCAAUAGGCAAUACUACUUCUUUCAAAAAUCAGUGAACGGAAGUGCUAUGAAGAAACAAAUUGGGAGAAAUCUUCAUUCUUCCCUUCUGCAGUCCCAGUGGAAAAUCCACCAUGUUUACGAGGCCUCAAACUCUGACUUUCUGUCUCAUCCGCCUGGGAGACUGCUGGAGGUUCUGAUCGACGCCUGCCACCUGUGAAUUGCUGCAAUCGUUGGGAGAAUUUCCUGCCUGGGAGUCUGGAAACUGCCAAGAGUGAAAAGCCGCAGCCAGCCAGCGAGGCCUCUGUUGUCAUUGGCCCAAACAACAACAAAAACAGCCACAACCACCACCACCACCACAACAAAACACGCCACGUGUGCACAAGCACACACAAACACGCCCACAGAACCAACCAAACGGACAAGGCUUCAAGGAGAAGCUUCUGGGCUGCGCGUUCCGGCAGCGAGGCCUGUCCCUUGGCACGGGGCCAUGGCAGCCCAGUUCCCAGCCCCCCACCAUCUGUCAUCAGCACUCUGCCUACUGUCAAGAGACACAGAGAAUUAAUCAUGAACCCAGUUGCCUAGAGGAGAAAAUAAUCUAUUUGUGGCAGUCUGAAAAAGCAAGAAGUUAUACGCCUCCAGGCUUCUUUGAAUUUUCCCAUCAGAGCCCCAGAGCUGACCCAACAAGCAAAAAUUUCUUCCUCAUUAGAAGACAGGGUAAGGGGGAAAGACUGGGGAGGGGGAGAUUGGUUUUUGUUUUGUUUUGUUUUAAGUUUAUUUUUACUUAUUUUGAGAGAUGGAGAGCAAGUGGAGGAGGGGCAGAGAGAGAGAUGGGGGGAGACAGAAUCCCAAGCAGGCUCCGUGCUAUCAGCGCAGAGCCCAAUGCAGGGCUCAGACUCAUGAAGUGUGAGAUCAUGACCUGUGUGAGAUCAUGACCUGAGCUGAAAUCAGAGUCAGAUGCUUAACCAACUGAGCCCCCAGGCGCCCCAAGAAAAAGGGUUUUGAAUAUAGUUUGUCGUAAUCCUCUCACACUGACAGUGCACAGAAUGCCCUCUGCACAUUUCCGUCAAUAAACCCCAUUCCAUCGCCA